This is a long non-coding RNA of Felis catus (domestic cat), 3638 nucleotides long. RefSeq lists it as uncharacterized. The transcript is spliced from 4 exons. The record is from RefSeq and is a predicted model, not a curated record. NCBI's taxonomy places the organism in Eukaryota, Metazoa, Chordata, Mammalia, Carnivora, Felidae.
UCAAUAUUUCCCUCCCGUGGAACAUCUAGCCCUCCUCUCUGCCCCCCCAUCCCUUACAAACCAACUCAAGUUCCACCUCUUCCAUGAAGCCUUCCCGGAUACAACUCUAUGUGGCAAAUCAGUAUCAGUUCUUCAUUUCAGUCAUAGAACAUGUCGCCUGGAUCGUAUAUUGAGGUCCAAAUAACUUCUAUGUCGCAUUUAAAUGCAGCUUCAAAUAUGCAAACCAAGAGAUGUCACCAGCACAUUGCCUUGCAUUGAGUGUCUUGUCAUGCGUCACACUGAGUGGUCCCUAGGACUUUUCAAUCUGUAGACUUACGAUACUCAGUUCUGGAAAAAUUUUGUGUAUUUUUACGAAUUAGGAAGGAAGUUAACCUUCCUAUUACGUUCUUUGUUCCUUCCAAAACUUCAAUUUGAACAUCCUGGAUUUGUUUUCUCUCUCUCUCUUUUUUUUUCUCUCCGAAAUUCCCAGAACUGGAGGUCAUGAAAUACAUAUCGAAAGGACACUUCAAAUCCCUGUACAUUGUCAAAGUAGAUCCACUCCAAAGUACAUCAUCAUGAAUUUUCAGGAUACUGACGAUAAAGAGAAGACUCUAAAAACUUUCAGAAAGGGGGCAACAUUUAAUAAGACGGAUCACGGAUCAGAAUGGCCUCAGACUUCUCAUUAAUAACACUAGAUGGUAGCAGUGCCUUCAAAACUCUGAGGGACAGCGGUUCCCAAGCACAGUUAUAUACCCAGUGAAGCCGCUAAAACAUUAGGGCAAAAUGGGCGUGUUUAGAUACGCACGGUCUCAAGCGUUCACCCCUUAAGCAUCCUUUCUCAGGAAGCUGCUGGAAGGGAGACUCGAUCAAAACAGGAGAACGAAGCAAGAAAUGAGAAGGAAAGGGAGCCAAGAAAUGGGCUUCCGCCCAAGAGAGAGUCCGUGGAGGGCACCUCCAGGAUGCCCCCGCCCCGGUGGUUGUUGGGGAGGGGGGGGUUUGGGCAGCAGAUAUCAGUCCCCCUACAUGGGAGAGGCCAGAGGGCCCUGGGGAAGAGUUUUUCCCAGACGCCGAAAUUAAUAGGAUAUCUAACAUAUCUGAAUCUACACAACUUGCAAACCGGGAAGAAUUGGGGGAUAAAACAGUAACGAGUACAUAGAGAGCUCGGCAAAAGCAAAUGCAAGGCAAUCGCGAAAUCCAGAGAAAACGAAAAGUUACAGCAGAAGGAAAAAUUAAUCAUGGCUCAUCCGUGAAUAGUAGUUAACUGUUACCCGAAACUCCGAAAAUUACUCUAACCCAGAAGAAGUCACAACUGGGAGGAUGAACGGCCAGCAAGUCUAGGGUGCUAAGGGUGAAGAGACCGGAAGUGGAGGGUGAAGGGUGAAGGAGACAGAAAGUAUAAGGGGGUGGAAAGCGAUGAGAUGAUGGGUGCGUGCGUGCGUGCGUGUGUGUGUGUGUGCGCGCGCGCGUGUGUGUAGGAGACCAGAAGGGGAGGGGUGAAGGGUGAAGAGUGAAGGAGACCGGAAGCGUAAGUGGGUGAAAGGUGAGAGGUGAAGGAGACCGGAAGUAAAGGGGGUGAAAGGUGUACGAAGACAGGAAGUGUCAGGGGGUGAAGAGUGAAAAAUGUAGAAGAGCCAAGUUGUCACGGGCUAUCCUCAGUUGCAAACUCCCAGAGUGGAAAAAGCUAGAAAUAUAAGCCUGUUCUUUGGUGAUAGGGAGAGAGGGAGACCCCGAGGAGUCGACUGGAUGUGCCGUGUGCGGCGGCCGGGCCUACUCGCCACCCUCGGGAGGGCCCCCAGCGAGCGUGGAGGACGGAACCCCCGCAAUCACCGGAGGUGAUAACCGCUACAGGGAGGAACAGCCCUGAAAGACAGUGGUGAAGGGAAAGCCUCCCAGUAGACACAUUUUGGCCAACCUGGUUGUGUGCUUCGGAGGAAAGGUGGUUUGGGGUCAAGGUCGACACUGACUGAUGAGUCAUGGGUCAUAGAUUCGCUGGCUGGUCAGGAACCUUGGAUGGUCGAGAUCGGAAGGCUUGUGAGCAGGAAGUCUGGGAACGAGUUACAUGGAGAUGGAAGUCCCUGGAUGAGCAUCACGUGACGCUACAAGGAGCGGGGUCCUGUUCCGGGUCCAGACUUGCUUUUCUUUACUGGCAGCGUGCCAGCACCACCACUUGGAGAUUUUCAGAGUGCCCUGCUCAUUGUCAUGGUAACCCACACAACAUCAUCUCCAGCCAAGAAACUCGUUUUACGGCAAAAGGCAUGUGGCACUGAGUUCAUGCCCAUGGAAUUCCCUGGCCUGUGCACGGCUCCCGAGAUACUCAGUGGCACUUGUGUGGAUGGACUGAGGAAAUGGCCUGCUGAGGGCUCAGCUGGGGCACCAGCGGGAGUACAUGGGAUCUCUCCGGGAGACACCACGUGUAUUCGGUGCCGUUUCCCCCAUGGCCAGAAUACACAGGUUCUGUACUUUGACAGGCUGCCCCUGGAGUCUCGAACUGGUCUGGAGCAUAGCCUGGGGAGGAAAUGUUGGAGAUCUGAAGAGAAGAUGUGACAUAGUCACUUAGGUUUGUUAGAUGUGCGCAAGGACCAGGGUGGAGGCCGAAGGGGCCCCCGUCGCUUUUUCACCAACCAGUCCUCUUACAGAACGUUCGCUUCCCCCGUAAGGCUGGGCUCAGCGCUCGAGAAGGAAGGUUCCCCGGAGAGCACAGUCUUGAUCCCGUUAAACCGGAAGGUCAGGUCGGUGACUUGUGGGCUUCUUGACCGAGCCCGCAUCGAAUGGGGUUCGCUGUACUGGCCGGGAUAAGGAGGACUCUACCUGAGCCAGAGGACUCACCAGAGCGCGGCAGGGUCUCCCCGUCCAAAAACCGGCCAAUAGGAAACCGCGGUGACUCAGGGAGGACAGGACAGCUAAGAAUUUGGAUUCCGUGGGAAUGAAGAUUUGCACCACCCUGAGAAGUGAAACCCAGAGGGCCGCAGUGCUGCCGAGAGGUAAGGAAGUCGGUGCAGGCAGCGAGAGGAGGGAGCCAGGAGUGUCACCCCAGGUCUGGAACCAGCAGCAAGUGGGUGCUUUUCCCCCUCUUUCCCUGUUGCCUUCCGUGAAGAACAAUGUUGGCCACUAACGCCGUCGUUUGGAUUCGCGUUGCAAGUAUGACGCAGCUGACACUACCCACUGCAGUCGAUGCCUGAUGGGACUUGGUGUUUCCCCAGGGUGGGGGCCACAGGAUCCAGUCGUCGAAAGAAAGGACAAGGACUCUCUCUGCCCCUCCGGAUUCAUUUUCCAUCCUUUUCUCGCCUGCUGGUGUCCAGGAGGCUGACCGCUAUAGAAUCCGCUCUCCAGACCCUCUCAUCUUCUGGCCUCCAGUUGGAUUUGACCAAUGGAGGCCUGAGCAGGAGAUCAUAGGUUUGGAGGAAACAUAGAUCAGGGGAUUUGUCACGGUUUUGACAGUGCUCGCUUGGCCCUGAAGCCCCGGGGCGGGCAGACCCUCUUCCACAGCCCUGACCCCCACAUGGUAAUGGGAGCAUCAUCCCUUCUUUGUCCCCUUGGUCCCCCUUUGGUGCUUGUAUCUGGGUGUCUUAUUAUCAUUAUUUUCCCUUAGCCCUGCCCGUGUCUCAUAAAGAGGCCCUUCAUUAACUUUCUUCAAUUAAACCUUCUUUCUGUGCCAUAUA